Long non-coding RNA from Lycium ferocissimum, 426 nucleotides. RefSeq lists it as uncharacterized. The transcript has 2 exons. NCBI's taxonomy places the organism in Eukaryota, Viridiplantae, Streptophyta, Magnoliopsida, Solanales, Solanaceae. The record is from RefSeq and is a predicted model, not a curated record.
UAUGUCAAGUGGACAGAAAAUGAAGUAUCACGUAUGGAAAUUUUGGAGGAAUUGGAGCAUGAAGUUGUUGGAAAUUCUCCUAUGGAUGGCCAGACAUAGAGCAGCUUCGCAAAAUAAUCCCUGCACAAUGUGGAGUAAAAGAGUACCAGGUAGGAUCGACUUCUACUACUCGUGGCUGGUAUUCAAGGAUUGCUGAUUCGUGUCUUUUAGGGUGAGCAUGAGGACGUUCGCUGCCCAAAGACUAUUUUUUCUAUUAUGUCUUAUUUUCAUCUUGAGACAUGAUCUUGAGACUAUUUAUGUAUUACUAUUAUUUAGAGUUGUAGUAUUUUAAUUAGAUGCUCAUGUAUGACCAGACCAGAUCUUUGGGGUUGAUUUCUUUUACUUUCACAUUUUCUUACAUUUUAUCAUGAGACUUAUGUUAUUCUA